This is a long non-coding RNA of Papaver somniferum (opium poppy), 407 nucleotides long. RefSeq lists it as uncharacterized. The record is from RefSeq and is a predicted model, not a curated record. The transcript has 3 exons. Lineage: Eukaryota; Viridiplantae; Streptophyta; Magnoliopsida; Ranunculales; Papaveraceae.
GCCCCUACGUACCCAAUACUUUCCAAAAUUGCUCGAGAUGUCUUGGCUGUUCCGGUGUCAACUGUAGCAUCAGAAUCUACCUUUAGUGACGGCGGUAGGGUACUUACAACACAUAGGAGUUCACUAGCUCCAGAAGCUGUUCAAGCCUUACUUUGCUUAAAUGAUUGGUUGCCUGAGCUUAUAGACGAUGACAAUGAACAAGCUUAGCUGUAGUUCUCAGUCAGUGCAGAUAAUAUCUUUUUGAAUUUUGCAUCCCUUGCAUAGUUGCAUGUACUGCAGGUAUGUUUAUAAGGAGGGGAUAGAAUGGAAGUAGAAAAAAAGGCUUGGAGGAAGGCAUAAAUGUGUGAUAAGAUCAGGACAAGGAAUUUCAACUUUUUGUAUAUCCUUGUUUGUUUUUUUUGAAUGAA